This 591-nucleotide unclassified non-coding RNA is filed under the name Penicillium griseofulvum. RNAcentral describes it as "sequence contains 18S rRNA gene, ITS1, 5.8S rRNA gene, ITS2, 28S rRNA gene". The stretch from base 221 to 373 matches the Rfam family "5.8S ribosomal RNA". The record is from RNAcentral. Lineage: Eukaryota; Fungi; Ascomycota; Eurotiomycetes; Eurotiales; Aspergillaceae.
AGUCGUAACAAGGUUUCCGUAGGUGAACCUGCGGAAGGAUCAUUACUGAGUGAGGGCCCUCUGGGUCCAACCUCCCACCCGUGUUUAUUUACCUUGUUGCUUCGGCGGGCCCGCCUUAACUGGCCGCCGGGGGGCUUACGCCCCCGGGCCCGCGCCCGCCGAAGACACCCUCGAACUCUGUCUGAAGAUUGUAGUCUGAGUGAAAAUAUAAAUUAUUUAAAACUUUCAACAACGGAUCUCUUGGUUCCGGCAUCGAUGAAGAACGCAGCGAAAUGCGAUACGUAAUGUGAAUUGCAAAUUCAGUGAAUCAUCGAGUCUUUGAACGCACAUUGCGCCCCCUGGUAUUCCGGGGGGCAUGCCUGUCCGAGCGUCAUUGCUGCCCUCAAGCACGGCUUGUGUGUUGGGCCCCGUCCUCCGAUUCCGGGGGACGGGCCCGAAAGGCAGCGGCGGCACCGCGUCCGGUCCUCGAGCGUAUGGGGCUUUGUCACCCGCUCUGUAGGCCCGGCCGGCGCUUGCCGAUCAACCCAAAUUUUUAUCCAGGUUGACCUCGGAUCAGGUAGGGAUACCCGCUGAACUUAAGCAUAUCAAUAA